This is a non-coding RNA of Salmo salar (Atlantic salmon), 47 nucleotides long. The record is from Rfam. Lineage: Eukaryota; Metazoa; Chordata; Actinopteri; Salmoniformes; Salmonidae.
CCAAAGGCACUUUUAAGAGCCACUUAAAACUAUACACUAAAGAGAAU